CUACCUAGUGACCGAUAGCGUAUAGUACCGUGAGGGAAAGGUGAAAAGAACCCCGGGAGGGGAGUGAAAUAGAACCUGAAACCCUGCACUUACAAGCUGUGGAAGCACAUUUCUUGUGUGACCGCGUACUUUUUGUAGAACGGGCCAACGAGUUACGUUAAGUAGCAAGGUUAAGCACUUAAGGUGUGGAGCCGUAGCGAAAGCGAGUUUUAACUGAGCGUUCAGUUACUUGACGUAGACCCGAAACCGGGCGACCUACCCAUGAGCAGGAUGAAGCGAAAGUAAAAUUUCGUGGAGGUCCGAACCCACGAGCGUUGAAAAGCUCGGGGAUGACUUGUGGGUAGCGGUGAAAUUCCAAUCGAGCCCGGAGAUAGCUGGUUCUCCCCGAAAUAGCUUUAGGGCUAGCCUCAAGGUGAGAGAUACGGAGGUAGAGCACUGAAUGUCCUAGGGGGUAUUGCACCUACCGAAGACUAUCAAACUCCGAAUGCCGUCAUCUUAUACUUGGGAGUCAGACUGUGGGUGAUAAGAUUCAUAGUCGAAAGGGCAACAGCCCAGAUCGUCAGCUAAGGUCCCUAAAUGUAAGUUAAGUGGUAAAGGAUGUGGGAUUGCACAGACAACCAGGAUGUUGGCUUAGAAGCAGCCACUCAUUCAAAGAGUGCGUAAUAGCUCACUGGUCGAGUGAUCCUGCGCCGAAGAUUUCCGGGGCUAAAACUUACUACCGAAGCUACGGCAUCAGUAAUGAUGGGUAGGGGAGCUUCCCAUACGGGUUGAAGCAUGACCGUAAGGACAUGUGGACAGUAUGGGAGUGAGAAUGUUGGCAUGAGUAGCGAGAUGUGGGUGAGAAUCCCACAGGCCGUAAACCCAAGGUUUCCAGGGGAAGGUUCGUCCGCCCUGGGUUAGUCGGGACCUAAGCUGAGGCCGAAAGGCGUAGGUGAUGGACAACAGGUUGAUAUUCCUGUACUACCGAUAACCGUUUGAGAGAAGGGAUGACACAGUAGGAUAAGCUAAGCACACUGUUGGUUAUGUGUGCCCAAGCAUUGAGGCAGUCAAAGUAGGCAAAUCCGCUUUGAUAAUGCUGGGAUGUGAUGGGGAGCGAAAUUUAGUAGCGAAGUAGCUGAUUUCACACUGUCAAGAAAAGUCUCUAUCGAGGUUAAAGGUACCCGUACCGCAAACCGACACAGGUGGGUGAGGAGAGUAUCCUAAGGCCAGCGAGAGAACUGUUGUUAAGGAACUCGGCAAAAUGACCCCGUAACUUAGGGAUAAGGGGUGCCACCAUCAGGUGGCCGCAGAGAAUAGGCCCAAGCGACUGUUUACCAAAAACAUAGGUUUCUGCUAAGUCGCAAGACGAUGUAUAGGAGCUGACGCCUGCCCGGUGCUGGAAGGUUAAGGGGAUCUGUUAGAGCAAUCGAAGCAGUGAACUUAAGCCCCAGUAAACGGCGGCCGUAACUAUAACGGUCCUAAGGUAGCGAAAUUCCUUGUCGGGUAAGUUCCGACCCGCACGAAAGGCGUAACGAUUUGGGCACUGUCUCAACAACAGACUCGGUGAAAUUGUAAUUCCGGUGAAGAUGCCGGAUACCUGCGACAGGACGGAAAGACCCCAUGGAGCUUUACUGUAGCUUGACAUUGGGUCUUGGUACUACAUGUACAGGAUAGGUGGGAGGCUUUGAAACCAGGACGCCAGUUUUGGCGGAGCCAUCCUUGGGAUACCACCCUUGUAGUACUGGGACUCUAACCAUAGGCCAUGAAUCUGGUCUUGGGACACUGUCAGGUGGGCAGUUUGACUGGGGCGGUCGCCUCCCAAAAGGUAACGGAGGCGCUCAAAGGUUCUCUCAGUACGGUCGGAAAUCGUACGUAGAGUGUAAAGGCAAAAGAGAGCUUGAUUGCAAGACAUACAGGUCGAGCAAGGAUGAAAAUCGGACUUAGUGAUCCGGUGGUUCUGCGUGGAAGGGCCAUCGCUCAACGGAUAAAAGCUACCCUGGGGAUAACAGGCUUAUCUCCCCCAAGAGUCCACAUCGACGGGGAGGUUUGGCACCUCGAUGUCGGCUCAUCACAUCCUGGGGCUGUAGUAGGUCCCAAGGGUUGGGCUGUUCGCCCAUUAAAGUGGUACGCGAGCUGGGUUCAGAACGUCGUGAGACAGUUCGGUCCCUAUCCGUCGCAGGCGUAGGAAAUUUGAGAAGACCUGUCCUUAGUACGAGAGGACCGGGAUGGACGUACCUCUGGUGUACCAGUUGUCCUGCCAAGGGCAUGGCUGGGUAGCUAUGUACGGAAUGGAUAAGCGCUGAAAGCAUCUAAGCGCGAAGCCAACUUCAAGAUAAGAUUUCCCACCGCAAGGGUAAGACCCCAGAAAGACUAUCUGGUUGAUAGGUCGAAGGUGUAAGUGCAGCAAUGUAUUUAGCUUAUCGAUACUAAUAGGUCGAGGACUUGACC
RNAcentral lists this ribosomal RNA (2427 nucleotides) under Clostridioides difficile. RNAcentral's name for it is "bacterial LSU rRNA". It matches the Rfam family "Bacterial large subunit ribosomal RNA", at positions 473 to 2925 of the family's 2925-position model. The record is from RNAcentral. Lineage: Bacteria; Bacillati; Bacillota; Clostridia; Peptostreptococcales; Peptostreptococcaceae.